UAGGGAAUCUUCCGCAAUGGGCGAAAGCCUGACGGAGCAACGCCGCGUGAGUGAUGAAGGUCUUCGGAUCGUAAAACUCUGUUAUUAGGGAAGAACAAAUGUGUAAGUAACUAUGCACGUCUUGGCGGUACCUAAUCAGAAAGCCACGGCUAACUACGUGCCAGCAGCCGCGGUAAUACGUAGGUGGCAAGCGUUAUCCGGAAUUAUUGGGCGUAAAGCGCGCGUAGGCGGUUUUUUAAGUCUGAUGUGAAAGCCCACGGCUCAACCGUGGAGGGUCAUUGGAAACUGGAAAACUUGAGUGCAGAAGAGGAAAGUGGAAUUCCAUGUGUAGCGGUGAAAUGCGCAGAGAUAUGGAGGAACACCAGUGGCGAAGGCGACUUUCUGGUCUGUAACUGGCGCUGAUGUGCGAAAGCGUGGGGAUCAAACAGG
Molecule: ribosomal RNA, 429 nt
Filed under: Actinomycetes bacterium
Lineage: Bacteria; Bacillati; Actinomycetota; Actinomycetes
Description: Actinobacteria bacterium partial 16S ribosomal RNA
Rfam family: Bacterial small subunit ribosomal RNA
Source: RNAcentral